ACAGUGUCUGUGAGUUAAAAUGGCCGCCAUCCAUUGUUCUCACCAUGUGCUUCUGAUACAGGAAAUGGUGGCCACCCAGUAACUCCACAGUAUGUCCCCAGAUGGUUCUUAAAGGGCCAGCAGCAGCACAACACAAAUCCAUUAUGCCCAAAUCAUGUCUUUAAAGGGCAAUACAUCCCAGGGGCCAUAGUCACAGAGCAAG
Molecule: long non-coding RNA, 202 nt
Filed under: Pelobates cultripes (western spadefoot toad)
Lineage: Eukaryota; Metazoa; Chordata; Amphibia; Anura; Pelobatidae
Source: RNAcentral